This 795-nucleotide long non-coding RNA is filed under the name Homo sapiens (human). RNAcentral's name for it is "HSALNT0082004". Lineage: Eukaryota; Metazoa; Chordata; Mammalia; Primates; Hominidae. The record is from RNAcentral.
CAAUGCAAUUCUGGGAAUGUUCAGGCUCUCUCUGUUCUUUCCUCUCUUGCAAACCAUGGGCACCCUUGGGUCCCUUGGGGUCACUAUGUUACACCUGCUUUUUAUCUGUCUGGGCAAGAGCUGCUCAAGCCACACCUUGUGACACUGAAAAGGCAGGUCGGGUGAAGAAGAGCAGGAUGUUUCAUUUUUAUCAAGCAUCACCUGAUUCAAAAUGUAGCCACUGAAAAGAAGCCAUCGUUUUUGGCCUGCGUCUCUGAGGAUAAGAUAGUGCGUGGGUGAUGGAUGCAGCCCAGAUCAGCUAUGAAAAUACCCAGCCGGCCUGCAGCCCUCCCGGCAGAUGCUGAAAAGGAAACCCGACUGGGAGAUGCCGCCCACCCUUAUCCCCAGAGAGCUGCGUUGUUUCCUCUUGCCUUGGCCUUUGGAUCCGGCCAUAGCAAGCAUCCCUGGGCACCUGGCUGAAGCUGGAAACUCGGGAUAAGAAUGGAAGCCCUGGAAGGGAAGAAGAACCGAGGAGUGAGCUUGCCCGGAGGACAGCACAUUGCACUCUCACCUCCUUUGCAGUUAAGUGUGAAAUAGUGCCAAUAGAGUGUAAAAGAAAAGAAAGAAGAUGAUUCACCUCCCAAAGAUUCCCCACUGCUGUGUCCCUUCUAUCAACUUGAUACAAAAAAACACAAUGGCCCCGGGAACCACGUGUUGAAGAUGAGAGAGCUAAAAGAUGGAAAGAGACUGGAGCCCUGAGUCACCACCUGGAGGAAAACUACCCACCCAUCAGGAAUUUCUACUACACAUUUGGGA